GAUGAACGCUGGCGGCGUGCCUAAUACAUGCAAGUCGAGCGAACGGACGAGAAGCUUGCUUCUCUGAUGUUAGCGGCGGACGGGUGAGUAACACGUGGAUAACCUACCUAUAAGACUGGGAUAACUUCGGGAAACCGGAGCUAAUACCGGAUAAUAUUUUGAACCGCAUGGUUCAAAAGUGAAAGACGGUCUUGCUGUCACUUAUAGAUGGAUCCGCGCUGCAUUAGCUAGUUGGUAAGGUAACGGCUUACCAAGGCAACGAUGCAUAGCCGACCUGAGAGGGUGAUCGGCCACACUGGAACUGAGACACGGUCCAGACUCCUACGGGAGGCAGCAGUAGGGAAUCUUCCGCAAUGGGCGAAAGCCUGACGGAGCAACGCCGCGUGAGUGAUGAAGGUCUUCGGAUCGUAAAACUCUGUUAUUAGGGAAGAACAUAUGUGUAAGUAAUUGUGAACAUCUUGACGGUACCUAAUCAGAAAGCCACGGCUAACUACGUG
Molecule: ribosomal RNA, 497 nt
Filed under: uncultured bacterium
Lineage: Bacteria
Description: partial 16S ribosomal RNA
Rfam family: Bacterial small subunit ribosomal RNA
Source: RNAcentral